UCCACAAAAACUAGCCUAUUUAAUUACAUUAAUAUCUAGUAUUGAAUCAAAAUUAAUAACACAUUUAAAAUCUAGAAGAAUGAAACAUAUACCACCUAAUUAUGAUAAAAUUAGAUUUAGAUAUCCACCAAGAUAUUAUAAAUAUAAUUUAAAAUGAAUAAAAUACAACGAUAUAAAGAAUUAAAACAAAUUAUCUCUGAAAAACGUAAAGAAUUAAAAAUAAGAAU
This 227-nucleotide long non-coding RNA is filed under the name Capsicum annuum. RNAcentral's name for it is "long non-coding RNA (CANN_LNC006681)". Lineage: Eukaryota; Viridiplantae; Streptophyta; Magnoliopsida; Solanales; Solanaceae. The record is from RNAcentral.